This is a non-coding RNA of Acanthosepion pharaonis, 99 nucleotides long. Lineage: Eukaryota; Metazoa; Mollusca; Cephalopoda; Sepiida; Sepiidae. The record is from the annotation of a GenBank genome assembly.
CGUUGAAAUGCCCGUUCUUGUACGAUCACUGAAGUUAAGCAAUAUUGAGCCUGGUUAGUACCUAGAUGGGUGACUGCUUGAGAAUACCAUGUGCUGUAG